GUCCACGCCGUAAACGUUGGGCGCUAGGUGUGGGGCUCUUUCCACGAGUUCCGUGCCGCAGCAAACGCAUUAAGCGCCCCGCCUGGGGAGUACGGCCGCAAGGCUAAAACUCAAAAGGAAUUGGACGGGGGCCCGCACAAGCGGCGGAGCAUGCGGAUUAAUUCGAUGCAACGCGAAGAACCUUACCAAGGCUUGACAUGGGCAGUAAUCCGGCAGAGAUGUCGGGUCCUAAAGGGCUGUUCACAGGUGGUGCAUGGUUGUCGU
RNAcentral lists this ribosomal RNA (264 nucleotides) under uncultured bacterium. RNAcentral's name for it is "partial 16S ribosomal RNA". It matches the Rfam family "Bacterial small subunit ribosomal RNA", at positions 793 to 1055 of the family's 1533-position model. The record is from RNAcentral.